Molecule: long non-coding RNA, 403 nt
Organism: Ctenocephalides felis (cat flea)
Lineage: Eukaryota; Metazoa; Arthropoda; Insecta; Siphonaptera; Pulicidae
Exons: 4
Source: RefSeq, a predicted model, not a curated record
UUUACAGCAUUAAAUGAUGACACUCGUGUCAUGUGUCAUGGAAUUGUUUUAGCAAAAAUAUGAUUUAAAAGUCGGUGGAUGAAAUUUGGCUGAACUGACAAGAAACAAUUAAGACAAUAUUUGAGCAAUACGUUCAUAAAGGAAUUAGCUGCACUUUGUUCUUAAUAAAUAAUGAAAGUAAAUAGAGCAAAAAUAUAUUUAAAAAUUCAGAGACUAAAAUCUUCUUUAUUGUCUAAAGUGUAAUUCGAUGAAGAAUUAAUAUGUUUUUGGUAUUGUUGAAAGGACUGCCUAGCUGUCAAUAACUUGAAAAUAAUGAAUAUUUUUAGAGAUACAUUUACAAACAGAAAGCAGUGAAAUGGUUUCAAUUUGAUAAACAAAGGUUGCCAAGAAUUUUACACAAGAC